UACACCUCGCAGCCGCGUUGGGUCGGAGAGCCGUGUCUUUCAAUGGGCGAUUCUCCCCGGCCACUGCAACCAGCCUCCGAUUUGGGGGGGGGGGGGGGGGGGGGGGGGCUGGUCCCACUGAGGAUUAUAUGCACUCCGCGCCCCGCACCCCUAACCCCAGCCCUUUAUCCCGGAGACCCUCAGCUCUGUCCGAACCCUGGCUUUCCCAGUACAAAAAGUACCCGAGUCUCGCUGUCUCCCCCCCCCACCUCUGUUUCUCCUCAGUUUGGCCUCCGGCUAAGAAUCUAUUCGCCACCUGCUCCGACCCCACGUUUCACAAGAAGGGACGCGGAUGCAGUCCGAGUUGCGCUUCGAGUCGACCCAGGGUGUUGGGAGCUCCGGACAGGAAAGCGAUGUCGUCCAGAGCAGAUCCUGAACGUGUCAUUAAAAAUGGAAAACGUUGGGAACACUUUGCGGGUCAGGCAGCAUCGGUGAGGAAGAAACCAGGACAACCGUUAGAAUUCAAGGAGAUUUCAUCAGAUGGCUUUUGACCCGCUGACUCUCAAGCAUUUGUUUGUUUUGGAUUUCCUGCAUCUGUAGCUUAUGUACUGCGGCAUAUUAAUAGAUGCCUUCCAUAGGCACCAUAAUAAGUAAACGUGAUGGCAUAUGUUGCUUGUGUAAUGUGAUUUACUGGAUGCUACUUUAAAAAAAAAAUCUAUUAUUUCUUCAUAUCUAUGAAAUACUUUGAUAUCCACAUCGACAGUAGACAUUUGCUGCCCUCUUCCCAUUAAGAAAGAAAUGCAAGGCUACUUCUUAACUUGACUAAUGAGGAAAUAAAAUAACAUUUUCCUGGGAAAA
This is a long non-coding RNA of Amblyraja radiata (thorny skate), 837 nucleotides long. RefSeq lists it as uncharacterized. NCBI's taxonomy places the organism in Eukaryota, Metazoa, Chordata, Chondrichthyes, Rajiformes, Rajidae. The record is from RefSeq and is a predicted model, not a curated record. The transcript is spliced from 3 exons.